ACAUGCUUGUAUGUACACACACAUGGGAGAAGCCGCACUGCAGGGAGGUGUGCAACGAAAUGUGAAUUGAAUUUUGUUGAUUGCACGUGUUUGCGUCUUGAGAAAUUUUAAAUACAUUUACCAUUAAUUUGCCGAUUUUUCGAGUCUCAGCAUUGCUGCAUUAAUGGACAAAAUUUGAUUUUACCUCUUCGACUAUAUUGUUUAUUCAAAUAUUUAAUAAUGGCAGAUAUUCCGACAAACGUGGGUGUCACGCGAAAAAUGUCAUUCGGCAUUAACGGUAAGCUCAACGGCGUGGAGUGCAAGACUCCCUUUCUGAUCGGAGUUUCCGGUGGCACCGCAAGUGGAAAGUCCACGGUGUGCAAGCGUAUAAUGGAAAAACUGGGGCAAGUUGAUAUGGACCAUCAGCAGCGUCGAGUAGUUUGCAUAUCCCAGGACAGCUUCUAUCGUGAUCUAACAGCUGCAGAAAAAAUAAGGGCUGAGAAAGGACAGUACAAUUUUGAUCAUCCCGAUGCAUUCGAUAAUGAUCUGAUCUUGCAAACACUACAGGACAUACUUGCUGGCGUCAAGUGUGAAAUACCAGCCUAUGACUACAGAACAAACAGUUUGAUGAAAGACCAAGUUACCACGAUAUAUCCUGCGGAUGUGGUGCUGUUUGAAGGAAUACUGGUAUUCUAUUUUCCCAAAAUCCGGGACUUGUUUCACAUGAAACUAUUUGUGGAUACGGAUUCAGAUACUAGACUUGCGAGACGAGUACCGAGAGACAUAAAUGAACGUGGGAGAGAUUUGGAUUAUGUCCUGAAUCAAUAUAUGAAUUUCGUGAAACCAGCUUUUGAGGAGUUCUGCCUACCAACGAAAAAGUUUGCGGAUGUUAUAAUACCGAGAGGAGCUGAUAAUACAGUGGCAAUAGACCUAAUAGUGCACCACAUCUGGGAUAUUUUGCGUUUGAAAAACGCCGAAAGCUCCGGGCAGCAUCCAUUCCUCCAGCAUAGACGUACUUCGGCCUCAUCCGACACGCUCAGCAGAUGACUUAAGCAUGAUAAGCUCACUCUAUCAAGCACUGCAUUUUUUCUGCAUCACGCUCCUAUUGGCGAUAGAUCUGAUAGUGCAGCACAUACGAGACUUCUUAAGCAACCGAGGUAGGGAAAUGGUGGA
This 1152-nucleotide unclassified non-coding RNA is filed under the name Ooceraea biroi (clonal raider ant). RNAcentral's name for it is "probable uridine-cytidine kinase, transcript variant X1". The record is from RNAcentral. Lineage: Eukaryota; Metazoa; Arthropoda; Insecta; Hymenoptera; Formicidae.